UCCUGGCUCAGAUUGAACGCUGGCGGCAUGCCUUACACAUGCAAGUCGAACGGCAGCACGGGAGCAAUCCUGGUGGCGAGUGGCGAACGGGUGAGUAAUAUAUCGGAACGUGCCCAGUCGUGGGGGAUAACGUAGCGAAAGCUACGCUAAUACCGCAUACGAUCUAUGGAUGAAAGCGGGGGAUCGCAAGACCUCGCGCGAUUGGAGCGGCCGAUAUCAGAUUAGGUAGUUGGUGAGGUAAAGGCUCACCAAGCCGACGAUCUGUAGCUGGUCUGAGAGGACGACCAGCCACACUGGGACUGAGACACGGCCCAGACUCCUACGGGAGGCAGCAGUGGGGGAAUUUUGGACAAUGGGCGCAAGCCUGAUCCAGCAAUGCCGCGUGCAGGAUGAAGGCCUUCGGGUUGUAAACUGCUUUUG
Molecule: ribosomal RNA, 420 nt
Filed under: Curvibacter putative symbiont of Hydra magnipapillata
Lineage: Bacteria; Pseudomonadati; Pseudomonadota; Betaproteobacteria; Burkholderiales; Comamonadaceae
Description: bacterial SSU rRNA
Rfam family: Bacterial small subunit ribosomal RNA
Source: RNAcentral